UCAAUGUCAAUUAUCAAUAAUCACAAACAUGAAUAGAUUUUCUAUUACCAGCCAUGCCAAGUGCCAACUUCGCUGCCCUUUCUAUUCCUGGCCCAGGCACACCGCUCACAGCAGUACCUUUCAACUCUUCUCCAAAAGAUUAAGCACCUCCAGAUUUGAGUGUGUUACUCAACCAGUCCAUGCCCUCAAAGAGACCUUCUCCUUUAAUUGCAGAAGUUUUAAAAAUUGCCCAUUGACGAUUCUUAAUCUUAUGCAGCUCUAAAGCCUCUGUAAUUGCAGCAUCAUCAAGUGCCCCAGGAAGAUCCUGCUUGUUUGCAAAGAUGAGAACAACAGCACCUUUUAGCUCUUCCUCCUCUAGGAUUGCAUGGAACUCAUCUUUAGCAAUCACCAGUCUAUCAGUGUCACUUGAAUCAACAACAUAAAUUAUGGCUUGAGUGUUAGGAAAAUAACAUCUCCAAUAGGGUCUGAUACUUGUUUGUCCACCAAGAUCCCACACUUGAAAUUUGAUAUUGUUGUACUGCACUGUUUCGACGUUAAAUCCAAUUGUUGGAAUUGUGGACACAACUUCACCCAUCUGAAGCCGAUAGAGAAUCGUGGUUUUGCCAGCAUUAUCGAGUCCGAGAACAAGGAUCCGGGCCUCUUUGUUGCCAAAGAGCGAAGAGAACAUUUUAGUAAACAAAAUACCCAUCCUUUAGCUCUUCCUAAGUAUCCAAACUGACGAUUCUCAGUGCACGUGGAACACAGAUCGCAGGAUUUGGAUCUGAUCUGCAAAGCAAAGCCCUGUUCCUCU
This 790-nucleotide unclassified non-coding RNA is filed under the name Hevea brasiliensis (rubber tree). The record is from RNAcentral. Lineage: Eukaryota; Viridiplantae; Streptophyta; Magnoliopsida; Malpighiales; Euphorbiaceae.